Molecule: ribosomal RNA, 549 nt
Filed under: uncultured Glomus
Lineage: Eukaryota; Fungi; Glomeromycota; Glomeromycetes; Glomerales; Glomeraceae
Description: SSU rRNA
Rfam family: Eukaryotic small subunit ribosomal RNA
Source: RNAcentral
UUGGAGGGCAAGUCUGGUGCCAGCAGCCGCGGUAAUUCCAGCUCCAAUAGCGUAUAUUAAAGUUGUUGCAGUUAAGAAGCUCGUAGUUGAAUUUCGGGGUCAGCAGGUUGGUCGUGCCAAUGGUAUGCACUGGCCUUGCUGAUUCCUCCCUCUUGAUGANCCGUAAUGUCAUUAAUUUGGUGUUGCGGGGAAUCAGGACUGUUACUUUGAAAAAAUUAGAGUGUUUAAAGCAGGCAAGCGCUUGAAUACAUUAGCAUGGAAUAAUGAAAUAGGACGUUUGAUCCUAUUUUGUUGGUUUCUAGGAUUGACGUAAUGAUUAAUAGAGAUAGUUGGGGGCAUUAGUAUUCAAUUGUCAGAGGUGAAAUUCUUGGAUCUAUUGAAGACUAACUACUGCGAAAGCAUUUGCCAAGGAUGUUUUCAUUAAUCAAGAACGAAAGUUAGGGGAUCGAAGACGAUCANAUACCGUCGUAGUCUUAACCAUAAACUAUGCCGACUAGGGAUCGGAUGAUGUUAAUUUUUUAAUGACUCAUUCGGCGCCUUACGGGAAAC